GACAGAUCAGUUUGCCUCCUGUAUUUGUUCUGUCUGGUCCUCUGGCCGAUUGAAUGUAACCAGUUACUAAACAAUCAUAGAAGAUUAAGAAAUCUUCUGGCAGUCGUUCAACAAUGAGAAUUUUGGUUUAAGAUGAGUGGAAAUGAGAAGAUCCUAGCCUCUGAACCAUUUUGAUCUGCUGCCCUCCCAAGCAAACCUAGAGCAGACUGAAAAGGCAUGGAAAAGAUAUGGCCACCCUGUGUGAGCAAUGCAAUUAGCCAAAUGAGGUAGCUGGAGGGGCCAAGUGACCCACAUACUCUAACGAGGACAUCAAACACUGCCCCAGUUAGAGAAGAUGUGCGGUGUGUUUCCAGGAAUAGGGAAAGACCUAACUUCCCCUGUCAGAGAACAAACUGAUCUCUUGUCACAAAAGAAGACCCAGAAUUUCUUGAUGGGUGAUAGUGGUACUUCCUUUAAAUAUAAAAAGCUUCCUAAGUCAUGAAGUUAAUUAUGCAUUUUUAAAAAAUUAAUAAAAGCAAGUAAAAGUGG
Long non-coding RNA from Nannospalax galili (Upper Galilee mountains blind mole rat), 528 nucleotides. RefSeq lists it as uncharacterized. Lineage: Eukaryota; Metazoa; Chordata; Mammalia; Rodentia; Spalacidae. The transcript is spliced from 3 exons. The record is from RefSeq and is a predicted model, not a curated record.